Molecule: ribosomal RNA, 1548 nt
Filed under: Klebsiella pneumoniae
Lineage: Bacteria; Pseudomonadati; Pseudomonadota; Gammaproteobacteria; Enterobacterales; Enterobacteriaceae
Description: bacterial SSU rRNA
Rfam family: Bacterial small subunit ribosomal RNA
Source: RNAcentral
AAAUUGAAGAGUUUGAUCAUGGCUCAGAUUGAACGCUGGCGGCAGGCCUAACACAUGCAAGUCGAGCGGUAGCACAGAGAGCUUGCUCUCGGGUGACGAGCGGCGGACGGGUGAGUAAUGUCGGAAACUGCCUGAUGGAGGGGGAUAACUACUGGAAACGGUAGCUAAUACCGCAUAACGUCGCAAGACCAAAGUGGGGGACCUUCGGGCCUCAUGCCAUCAGAUGUGCCCAGAUGGGAUUAGCUAGUAGGUGGGGUAACGGCUCACCUAGGCGACGAUCCCUAGCUGGUCUGAGAGGAUGACCAGCCACACUGGAACUGAGACACGGUCCAGACUCCUACGGGAGGCAGCAGUGGGGAAUAUUGCACAAUGGGCGCAAGCCUGAUGCAGCCAUGCCGCGUGUGUGAAGAAGGCCUUCGGGUUGUAAAGCACUUUCAGCGGGGAGGAAGGCGUUAAGGUUAAUAACCUUGGCGAUUGACGUUACCCGCAGAAGAAGCACCGGCUAACUCCGUGCCAGCAGCCGCGGUAAUACGGAGGGUGCAAGCGUUAAUCGGAAUUACUGGGCGUAAAGCGCACGCAGGCGGUCUGUCAAGUCGGAUGUGAAAUCCCCGGGCUCAACCUGGGAACUGCAUUCGAAACUGGCAGGCUAGAGUCUUGUAGAGGGGGGUAGAAUUCCAGGUGUAGCGGUGAAAUGCGUAGAGAUCUGGAGGAAUACCGGUGGCGAAGGCGGCCCCCUGGACAAAGACUGACGCUCAGGUGCGAAAGCGUGGGGAGCAAACAGGAUUAGAUACCCUGGUAGUCCACGCCGUAAACGAUGUCGAUUUGGAGGUUGUGCCCUUGAGGCGUGGCUUCCGGAGCUAACGCGUUAAAUCGACCGCCUGGGGAGUACGGCCGCAAGGUUAAAACUCAAAUGAAUUGACGGGGGCCCGCACAAGCGGUGGAGCAUGUGGUUUAAUUCGAUGCAACGCGAAGAACCUUACCUGGUCUUGACAUCCACAGAACUUUCCAGAGAUGGAUUGGUGCCUUCGGGAACUGUGAGACAGGUGCUGCAUGGCUGUCGUCAGCUCGUGUUGUGAAAUGUUGGGUUAAGUCCCGCAACGAGCGCAACCCUUAUCCUUUGUUGCCAGCGGUCCGGCCGGGAACUCAAAGGAGACUGCCAGUGAUAAACUGGAGGAAGGUGGGGAUGACGUCAAGUCAUCAUGGCCCUUACGACCAGGGCUACACACGUGCUACAAUGGCAUAUACAAAGAGAAGCGACCUCGCGAGAGCAAGCGGACCUCAUAAAGUAUGUCGUAGUCCGGAUUGGAGUCUGCAACUCGACUCCAUGAAGUCGGAAUCGCUAGUAAUCGUAGAUCAGAAUGCUACGGUGAAUACGUUCCCGGGCCUUGUACACACCGCCCGUCACACCAUGGGAGUGGGUUGCAAAAGAAGUAGGUAGCUUAACCUUCGGGAGGGCGCUUACCACUUUGUGAUUCAUGACUGGGGUGAAGUCGUAACAAGGUAACCGUAGGGGAACCUGCGGUUGGAUCACCUCCUUACCUUAAAGAA